GUGACUCCGCCCACUUCCGGCAUGUGACGUAUGGUUCUGCUAUCGGCCCGAUCUCGCACAGACCUGCUCUACAGCAGAACCAGAACUAUAACUAACAUUCAGCUCAAGCACUUCAUACACACGGACACGGAACCCAGUCCGGAGCUCAGAGCGAUCUGAUGGCGUCCGCGAGUUUGUCUGCAGCGUUCAGGCGGUUUGUGAACAGAACUGUGAAGACCAGGAGGAUGAAGGAAUGCAUUUGGACCGAUCGAAUCAGAACUUCAAACAGAAAAGCUUCGUUUCUCGUGGCUGUGACUCCUCUGUCCUUCCUCAUCUUCGAGAGAGUCGCUCAUUUCUCUUCGGUUCGAGCGCUGGACUCAGCUCAAGAAGUUUUAGAACAAGCAGAUUAUCUGUACAGCUGCGGAGAGACACAGAAGCUCCACCAGCUCCUGGUGCGCCACAAAGACAGUGAUGAUGCAGAGUUUCUGUGGCGCUUGGCGCGAGCGUCCCGUGAUCUGACGUCACUGUCCAGCAUCAGCGCCGACGAGAAGAAGCGGCUCACGUACGAGGCCCUGGACUACGCCAAGAAAGCUCUGGAGAAAGACGAGGCUUCCUUUGCGGCACACAAAUGGUUCGCAAUCUGCCUCAGUGACGUCGGUGAUUACGAAGGGAUCAAAGUGAAAUUAGGAAAUUCCUACAUCAUUAGAAACCAUUUAGAGCGAGCGAUUGAACUCAAUCCAAAGGAUGCCACGUCCAUCCAUAUUCUGGGUUACUGGUGAGUUUGUAUUCUGAUAUAAAUAUAUGGCCAUACUGGACGCUUUCAGUAACCUCCUGACGUGUCUGUCUGCGGCUCGCAGGUGUUUCGCCUUCGCUGAAUUAGCCUGGUACCAGAGGAAAGUAGCAGCUGUUAUUUUUGCGUCGCCUCCAACAGCCACUUAUGAAGAGGCUUUGGCAUUUUUCCUGAAAGCUGAAGAAGUUGACCUGAAUUUCUACAGCAAGAGUCC
Molecule: RNA transcript, 983 nt
Organism: Cyprinus carpio (common carp)
Lineage: Eukaryota; Metazoa; Chordata; Actinopteri; Cypriniformes; Cyprinidae
Gene: rmdn1
Gene name: regulator of microtubule dynamics 1
Exons: 8
Source: RefSeq, a predicted model, not a curated record